RNAcentral lists this ribosomal RNA (455 nucleotides) under Listeria monocytogenes. RNAcentral's name for it is "partial 23S ribosomal RNA". It matches the Rfam family "Bacterial large subunit ribosomal RNA", at positions 921 to 1375 of the family's 2925-position model. The record is from RNAcentral. Lineage: Bacteria; Bacillati; Bacillota; Bacilli; Caryophanales; Listeriaceae.
AGGGGCCCUUCUCGGGUUACCGAAUUCAGAUAAACUCCGAAUGCCAUGUACUUAUACUCGGGAGUCAGACUGCGAGUGAUAAGAUCCGUAGUCGAAAGGGAAACAGCCCAGACCACCAGUUAAGGUCCCCAAAUAUAUGUUAAGUGGAAAAGGAUGUGGGGUUGCUUAGACAACCAGGAUGUUGGCUUAGAAGCAGCCACCAUUGAAAGAGUGCGUAAUAGCUCACUGGUCGAGUGACCCCGCGCCGAAAAUGUACCGGGGCUAAACAUAUUACCGAAACUGUGGAUGAACCUCUUUAGAGGUUCGUGGUAGGAGAGCGUUCUAAGGGCGGUGAAGUCAGACCGGAAGGACUGGUGGAGCGCUUAGAAGUGAGAAUGCCGGUAUGAGUAGCGAAAGAAGGGUGAGAAUCCCUUCCACCGAAUAUCUAAGGUUUCCUGAGGAAGGCUCGUCCGCUC